GGGGUUGUAGCUCAGUGGUACAGUGCUCACCUAGCAUGUGUGAGGCACUGGGUUCAAAUCUCAGCACCA
Molecule: transfer RNA, 69 nt
Filed under: Marmota marmota marmota (Alpine marmot)
Lineage: Eukaryota; Metazoa; Chordata; Mammalia; Rodentia; Sciuridae
Also listed under: 2 other names
Rfam family: tRNA
About the family: Transfer RNA (tRNA) molecules are approximately 80 nucleotides in length. Their secondary structure includes four short double-helical elements and three loops (D, anti-codon, and T loops).
Source: Rfam by way of RNAcentral